This 85-nucleotide transfer RNA is filed under the name Dictyobacter kobayashii. RNAcentral's name for it is "tRNA-Ser". It matches the Rfam family "tRNA". Rfam says of the family: Transfer RNA (tRNA) molecules are approximately 80 nucleotides in length. Their secondary structure includes four short double-helical elements and three loops (D, anti-codon, and T loops). Further hydrogen bonds mediate the characteristic L-shaped molecular structure. tRNAs have two regions of fundamental functional importance: the anti-codon, which is responsible for specific mRNA codon recognition, and the 3' end, to which the tRNAs corresponding amino acid is attached (by aminoacyl-tRNA synthetases). tRNAs cope with the degeneracy of the genetic code in two manners: having more than one tRNA (with a specific anti-codon) for a particular amino acid; and 'wobble' base-pairing, i.e. permitting non-standard base-pairing at the 3rd anti-codon position. Lineage: Bacteria; Bacillati; Chloroflexota; Ktedonobacteria; Ktedonobacterales; Dictyobacteraceae. The record is from RNAcentral.
CGGAAGGAUGGCAGAGUGGUCUAAUGCGGCUGUCUUGAAAACAGCUGGGUGAGAGCCCCGGGGGUUCGAAUCCCUCUCCUUCCGU